AUUUGUAUUGUAUAUAGUGGAGGGAAUGAUUUAGAUUGAUAUAAGUAAGAAUUUAGAGAGAUUAUAACAAAUUAUCAACAAACGAUUCAUUUGCUUAAUGAUUUAACUCAUAAAUAUGUAUUGGUGGAAAUAUAAUGGUGUGUGAGUUUGAUUUGCGAGUGUUUGAUUGGUUACAAUUAUGUGUGUGUUUCUGCAUGUAUUGUGUUGUGUGUCUGCAUAAGAAACAUAUAGAAUUAAAGAAACAUUGAGAAGUAGAGAAAUAUAGAGAAUCUUAGUCAGAGACUUUCACACCUAGACAAUUGUUUGGUCAGUGAUGGGUUAGUCAUCGUCAAAGGUGGACAGGUUGGUACUGGAUUGCAUAUCAUUUAACUUUCAAUGUCUUCUUCAUCCCUUCAAACCUUUUCUUCAUCACUAUCCUUAAUGUACUCAUAUCAAUACGAACGCACUUUGCCCAAUGAGGAGAAUGCACAACCACCUAAAUUAUACACAUAAAUAAUAAAUUUAACACUACUUAUAUUAUAAGAAUAGUAAAGUUAUUUUGACGCAGUGACAUAAAAAUAGAUUUACCUGAUUACGUCGACCUCAUCCACAAAAAGUCCAUUGUAUAUACUCUAUCGUUCUCGUUGACAAAUUCACUCCAAUCCUACAAAGAAUGAACCUCAUUGUAAAAUUAAAAGUUGAAAUAUUGAAAAGAUUACAUAAUUCAGCAGAAAUAAACUUGUUUAAACUAUACCAUUUACUUGUCGUAAGAAUAUUAUAAUAAAACUUCUGGGUAAACAAUAUUUGUGGUGCAAUUUAACCCAUCUUCCAGAAGGAGGACGGACAGUAAUACGAUCCGAAGAUGUGCAUCUAGAUAGUGCCACAUAAAGGUGUUCAUGACUAAAAAUAGGUGUCCGCAAAUCAAUCCCAAUGAACUUGAC
This 920-nucleotide long non-coding RNA is filed under the name Panax ginseng (ginseng). Its description in RNAcentral is "long non-coding RNA (PGIN_LNC007519)". Lineage: Eukaryota; Viridiplantae; Streptophyta; Magnoliopsida; Apiales; Araliaceae. The record is from RNAcentral.